UACGUAGGGGGCAAGCGUUGUCCGGAAUCAUUGGGCGUAAAGAGCGCGUAGGCGGCCCUGUAAGUCCGACUGUGAAAGUCAAGGGCUCAACCCUUGGAUGCCGGUGGAUACUGCAGGGCUAGAGUCCGGAAGAGGCGAGUGGAAUUCCUGGUGUAGCGGUGAAAUGCGCAGAUAUCAAGGAGGAACACCCGUGGCUAAGGCGGCUCUCUAGUACGGUACUGACGCUGAGACGCGAAAGCGUGGGGAGCGAACAGGAUUAG
RNAcentral lists this ribosomal RNA (260 nucleotides) under uncultured bacterium. RNAcentral describes it as "partial 16S ribosomal RNA". It matches the Rfam family "Bacterial small subunit ribosomal RNA", at positions 524 to 781 of the family's 1533-position model. The record is from RNAcentral.